AAAUAGACAGUACUCGGAAUCUUGCCGGACUACUUGGACUGCAAAAUUUCAUUAGCAAACUAUUUCAAGAUGAUGUGGUGUUUUUUUUUUUUUUUUUUACAGUAAAGGAAGCAACUCAAGAAACAAAAAUAGAACAAAAGAAGGCUAUACCACUUCUCUGGCAAACUUUGGAUAGCAGAAGAUAUUCCAUGGGCAAACUAUUUCAAGAUGACAUGUUUUUUUUUUCUUUUUACAGUAAAGAAGGCAACUCAAGAACCCAAAAUAAAAAAGGAGGUAAAAGAGAAAAGUUUGUUAUGUACUCCUUCGGCAAAGCUUGGACAGCGAAAAUACUUCCAUCAGCAAACUAUUUCAAGAUGACAUGGUGAUAUUUAUUUAUUUAUUUUAUUUUUUUCAGUAAAGGAGGCAACUCAAGAACCCAGAAUAAAAAAAAUAAAGAGGCAAAAGAGAAAAGUCCAGUAUAUCACAUCUACGGCAAACCUUGGACAGCGAGAGGAAUUCCAUUGGCAAACUUUUUCAAGACAAGAGCUAAAAAAAAAAAAAAAAAAGAGAGUAAAGGAGGCAGCUCAAGAACCCAGACUAAAAAAAGGCAAAAUGAGAAAUACCUGCUAUGGCACAAAGAAAAAGGUGCCUUGAUACAACUCACCUGAAGGCCUUGUAUGCACCCCUCUACAAGGUACUCGACCGGUUGUUCUUACGACACGAAAGACUCAACUUUAUCUGGAUGUUAGUUAAACUUUACAUGCAAUUUACUGGGCCACCCGAAACAUGAACUCUCGGUUUACUUCUAUUAUACGAGAGAAUGUCAAUGUUAUGUAGAUGUUAUGUAAACUUGGCCAUCCAGCGCAUCAAAACACAACUGAUGAGGCCGCCCGCCGCUCGCAGUCAACGGAACUGAGAAAAAUAAAUGUACUCACUUCCCUCAACCCUUUCUUUCUUUUCAAAGUGAACUCUUGUGUUGUUUUCUCUUUUUUUUGUGCCCUUGAGCUGCCUUCUUACUGUAAUAAUAAUGAUAAUAAUAAUAAUAAUAAUAGAUAAUAAAACGGAUCUAUACCCAUCAUGAACACACUUGCUCCUGUUGCUGCCUGACUAGACCCUUGAACUUCCUCUUUUAUGCUACAUUAUAUAAUCUUUACGAAGAAAGAACUUAGGUCACUGAAACACGGCAUUAAAUUAUGAGAUUCAAGAUGUAGAUAUUUGACUUCUAAAACCAUUAAAAAAGUGACUUUCUUAUGCUACACAAAAUUAUCUUUAUAUAGGAAGAACUUAGGUCACUGAAACACGGCAUCAAAUGAUGAGAUUCAAGACGUAGAUACCUGACUUCUAACGCCAUUAAUAAAGUGUCUUUCUUAUGCUACACAAAAUUAUCUUUAUACAGGAUGAACUAAGGUCACUGAAACACGGCAUCAAAUUAUGAGAUUCAAGACGUAAAUACCCAACUUCUAACACCAUCAAUAAAGCUACUCUUUCUUAUGCCACACAAAUUAUUUUAGAUACAGGAGAAACAUUUCAUUUGGGUUGUUGAAAUAGAUCAAAUUAUAAGAUUCAAGACUUAAGGGAUUAUGAGAUGAUAGAUUAUCUGACUUCUAUCACCAUUUAUAAAGAGACUCUUUCUUAUGCUACACAAAAUAAUCUAAAUAUAGAAGAAACGUUUCACUUGGAUUGUUGAAACAAAGCAUCAAGUUAUAAGAUUCAAGACUUACAGAUUAUGAGAUGAAAGACUUAUAUAGACUUUAACACCCUUUAUAAAGUAUCCAAUAAGACUUACUGCACUGGGAUGAAUGAUGGUAAAGCUGUAAAUAUCCCUGGACUUUCAACCUUAUGCUAUGUAAACUAAUUUUUAUGUAGUAUUUAACCCUUUCCAUCCGUGACGCAGACGUCGGCGUCACAGUAUGGAAAGGGUCAAGAGGAAAUGGAAGAGGAUUAAUCCUCUUCUAAACCUCUCAAUCCUCCUCUAAAUUCCUCUUAAUCCUCUUAAGAGGUUUAGAAGAGGAUUAAGAGGAAAUGGAAGAGGAUUAAGAGGUUUAGAAGAUGACUAACCCUUUCCAUACGGUGAUGCCGUCGGACGCCUGUCGGAUGCCGACGUCGGCGUCACCGGAGUGAAGGGGUUAAGAGUGCUAUUUAUUCUUGCUAGUUUACUUCUCCACUAACAUGCACUCUGUAACUACUUUUCAUUCUCCUGCUAUGACAUUCUGAACCAAACACCCUAUUCCUUUUCUUUCAUUCAUUCUACCUCAAGUCAUCUGCCCUCAACAUGCAUUCUUUAACUAUUUCUCAUUCUCCUGCUACGACAUUCUGUAACCAACACUCCCUUUCUUUGUUUUCAUUCAUCCUAACUUGGGUCAUCUACCCUCAACAUGCUUUCUAUAACUAUUUUUCACUUUCCUGCUAUGGCAUUCUGAACCAAACUCUCCCUUCCUUUUCUUUCAUUCAUUCUAGCUCAAGUCAUCCACCCCCAACAUGCAUUCUGUAACUAUUUCUCAUUCUUCUGCUAUUACAUUCUGAACCAAAUACUCCCUUUCUUUUUCAGUUCAUUCAACCUUGAGUCGUCUGCCCCCAACAUGCAUUCUUUAAUUAUUUCUCAUUCUUCUGCUAUGACAUUCUUUUUCAUUUUUUCAUUCUAGCUCAAGUCAUCCACGCCCAACAUGCUUUCUUUAACUAUCUUUCAUUCUCCUGCUAAGAAAUUCUGUACCCAACACUCCCUUCCCUUUUUCUUCAUUUAUUUUAGCUCAAGUCGUCUGCCCACAACAUGCAUUUUUAGACCAUUUCAUGUUAUCUGGCUACAGCAUUCUCACCACAAACUCCCUUUCCUUGUUAUCAUUCAUGCUAGCUACUCGUCUGCCCACAAGCAUGCAUUCUAUUACCAUCUCUCAUUCCCCGUUCCCACAUUCUGAGCAUAACCUAAGUUUCUUUUUAACUCUAUUCUCUUCCUUAUGUACAUGCACUGUUAAACUCUUUGCUCACUCCCACAAUAACCUUUUCUAUCUUUGACUCAAUCAUUCUGAACUAACAUAUAUUCUUUCUUUCAUUCCUUACGCUUACAUUCACCCAGGUCUCUCUCUCUCACUCUCUCAACUACUCCACCACUGAUCCCUUUUUCUUGUAGCAUCCACCUUAGCACUUCUAUAAUGACAAAACUCCACAUUAACUCCACAUUGGCCGUUCCCUAUUACUAACGUCACCCCAUUUCUAUUUUUUGAUUCCACUGACACAUCCUCUUGCUCUUCACAGUCCCUACCAAAACCAUCUCUUUCUCUUGUAGCAAUUCCCCUAAGACGGAAACCCACAUUAGCCAUUCCCCUAAUACUAACGUCACCCUAAUGCUAUCUGACUCCACUAACAUAUCCUUCUUGCCCUUCCCUUUCCCUACCAAAGCCAUCUCUUCCAUCCCUUUCUCUUGUAGAUCUUCCCCUAAAACAGAAGCCCACAUUAGCCACUCCCCUAACACUAAUGUCACCCUAAUGCUCUCUAACACCACUAACAUAUUCUUCUUGCCCUUUACUUUCCAUACCAAAACCAUCUCUUCCACUACUAUACGAGGCAUGUAAUGACAAUGGGUUUUCAAGCAUCGAAAUGUAAGGGUAAAAAGUUGGAAAGUUUCGUUUAGUCGGCGCAACAUCUGUGGUGAUAUGCCGGAGAGAGACAGAAGGGGAAGGAAUUAUAGGAGAAAGGAACAGACCCCAGGAGACGGGACACAACCCCCGAUUAAUACCUGGUACCCAUUCACUGCUGGGUAUUAUGCAAGGGUAAGUCAGCCCAUCUGUCACAACACAUUUAAAUCUUCCUCAGACUGGUAGUUCUCCACGAUUUUCCCCUCGACCACCAUUCUCUCUUACCAUGACCAUGACCAUUUUCUUUCCUGCUGCAGCCCUCUUUCCCUUGUCGGUCCUGCAGGCUCGACUAACAAGAUCCAGUGUUUUUGGCAAGGGUACUGAGAGGGUUCGUUGUUUGUUAUUGAAGUGCUUUAAUGUGAGAAUAUAUAAAGAUUGUUGUUUUUAUUUACGGACGUUCUUCGUGUUGAGUAGGAGCACCCGUAACGCCUGAGUGGUCCACCUGUUAGUAAGUUAAUACCUGUGUGCGUGAGUGCUAAUUAAGUGCGUGAGUAAGCGAGUGAGUGAGAGUGAGUGAGUGGUUAAUAAUUUUUACUCUCUUAAGUACUUGGGUUACGAGAGUGAGAGAGAAGAGGAGAGGGAGAGAGCAGGAGAGUAGAGGAAAGAGAGAGAGAGAGAGAGAGAGAGAGAGAGAGAGAGAGAGAGAGAGAGAGAGAGAGAGAGAGA
Long non-coding RNA from Eriocheir sinensis (Chinese mitten crab), 4274 nucleotides. RefSeq lists it as uncharacterized. NCBI's taxonomy places the organism in Eukaryota, Metazoa, Arthropoda, Malacostraca, Decapoda, Varunidae. The transcript has 2 exons. The record is from RefSeq and is a predicted model, not a curated record.